CCUGGCGGUUAUAGUAACGGGGACACACCUGAUUCCAUUCCGAACUCAGAAGUUAAGCCCGAUUACGUCGAUGAUACUGCUAAUUGUGGGAAAGUAGAUUGCUGCCAGGA
Molecule: ribosomal RNA, 110 nt
Filed under: Deltaproteobacteria bacterium
Lineage: Bacteria; Pseudomonadati; Myxococcota; Myxococcia
Source: RNAcentral